UCUACCUGACUAACUAGUGAAAAGUGUGAUGAAAAGUGAUUGACGUGUAUUAUGAUCAUUUGGUGCUUGAUUUUAUUGGCAGACUCGUUGAUUUCGGCAAGCUUUUGGAUUGUUAUUGGUUACGUGUUUUCUUGAUAUUAUUGGCUAAAAGGUGAAAUCCCAGCACAGCAUGAGUAUUGAGUGUUUUGUUGCCAUUCUGGGAUAUUACUUUGGAUUUCUUUGGAGGCAAUGGAAGAAUGCUUGGUUGAAGAAUUCCCUAAAUUAAGAGUAUAAAAGUCAUUGAUGAAAGUCAUCAAUGCUAUAUGUAGUGCUGAACUGUGAAAGAAGAUGACCAAACACUUACUAAACCAGUUGCAAACAUAGGAAUAUCAUUGUUUUCAACUAAAGCAACAGGAUUUUGACUAUUGACCUAGAAGUAGUGAAUAUUGAAGAUUAGGAAAGAAAAAGAGAAACAAA
This is a long non-coding RNA of Xenia sp. Carnegie-2017, 456 nucleotides long. RefSeq lists it as uncharacterized. The record is from RefSeq and is a predicted model, not a curated record. Lineage: Eukaryota; Metazoa; Cnidaria; Anthozoa; Malacalcyonacea; Xeniidae. The transcript has 2 exons.